GACGAACGCUGGCGGCAUGCCUAAUACAUGCAAGUCGAGCGAACAGAUGAAGUGCUUGCACUUCUGACGUUAGCGGCGAACGGGUGAGUAACACGUAAGGAAUCUACCUAUAAGCGGGGGAUAACAUUCGGAAACGGGUGCUAAUACCGCAUAAUAUCUUCUUCCGCAUGGAAGAAGACUGAAAGACGGCUCUGCUGUCACUUAUAGAUGACCUUGCGGUGCAUUAGUUAGUUGGUGGGGUAAUGGCCUACCAAGACAAUGAUGCAUAGCCGACCUGAGGGGGUGAUCGGCCACAUUGGGACUGAGACACGGCCCAAACUCCUACGGGAGGCAGCAGGAGGGAAUCUUCCGCAAUGGGCGAAAGCCUGACGGAGCAAUGCCGCGUGAGUGAAGAAGGCCUUCGGGUCGUAAAACUCUGUUAUAAGAGAAGAACAAAUUGUAGAGUGACUGCUACAGUCUUGACGGUAUCUUAUCAGAAAGCCACGGCUAACUACGUGCCAGCCGCCGCGGUAA
This 513-nucleotide ribosomal RNA is filed under the name uncultured bacterium. Its description in RNAcentral is "partial 16S ribosomal RNA". It matches the Rfam family "Bacterial small subunit ribosomal RNA", at positions 28 to 523 of the family's 1533-position model. The record is from RNAcentral.